Molecule: long non-coding RNA, 1060 nt
Organism: Siniperca chuatsi (mandarin fish)
Lineage: Eukaryota; Metazoa; Chordata; Actinopteri; Centrarchiformes; Sinipercidae
Exons: 3
Source: RefSeq, a predicted model, not a curated record
UGCACCUGUUUCUCGUUGUCUCCCCUAACUAUAUGUAUUUAGUCAGAGUUUUUCCUUUGUCUAGUGUCAGUUUGUUAUUUGUACUUUGUACUGCAUGUCAAGCUUACAGCCGUGUUUUUGUUCCUUUUUUUGCCUGGACCUGCCCUAUGGAUUGGACUUUUGGAUUUUUCUGCCUGCCUUUGGAUUUGUUUGCCUGUUUGUACUGCUUCUUUGGAUUUGACUUUUGCCUGCCUCGCCAUCCCGUCUCUUUUGGAGCCUUUUUCUGGCUGCAGGAGGUUGCAAUGGUAACGGUAACAUUAACAUGACUAGUUGAUUCUGAGAAUCAACUCUGAUGGCUCCAAAUGCACAUCAAAGUCACAGAUCAGUCGAAAAUCUGGCAAGAAGGGCAUCUCUCAUCAGCAUGUGAUGAGCAUGUGGACUUUGAUGCAAAACUACUGAAAUGCAACACAUUUGAUUUGAUUUUUGUAAUGCCUGUUAUGCUUUUCAGCAGUAUGAGUUCACAUUUUAGCCAUGCUAGCCUAUUGUGAGCAUUAGAUUCGGUAGACACUAUAUACUGUAUACACAAUGUUCGUGAUUAUAUGUAUUAAUGCUUUGGAUUUUCUGUGUGUUACCCAUUUCAGCCCAGUUUAAACUGACAUAAUUGUUUUAAAUUUUAAUAAGUAAAUAUUCUACAAUUAAAAAGCAUAUUUUAAGGACAAAUGUUCAUCAGAAAUUGUGCAAUUGGAUUGUUUUUUACAGGAAGAUAUUGCUAGCAAAUUAUCAGUAAAAUUGUGAUUAUAGCUAUGUACUAAUUUGUGCUACUACUACUGUAAUCAAACUAAACGAAUACUACUUUCACUAAGUGAAAAUACAAUAAUAAUACUGAAAAUGAAAAUGCAGUAAUAAUACUGUAAAUGAAAAUACUGUAAUUGAAAUUACAGUAGUGAUAAUGGUACUGUAAAUGAAAUUACAGUAACUUACUGGAAUCUAGCGGCCAGUAAGUUACUGUAAAAUUUACAGUAACGCCUUUACAGUGUCAUUUUUAUGUAUUCUUUAUUUUCUCAGUAUUCAUUUCUAGGAU